CCUACGGGAGGCAGCAGUGGGGAAUAUUGGGCAAUGGAGGCAAGUCUGACCCAGCAACGCCGCGUGAAUGAUGAAGGUCUUCGGGUUGUAAAGUUCUUUUCUAAGGGAAGAAGAAAGUGACGGUACCUAAGGCAUAAGCCUCGGCUAACUACGUGCCAGCAGCCGCGGUAAUACGUAGGAGGCAAGCGUUAUCCGGAAUGACUGGGCGUAAAGGGUGCGUAGGUGGUUUGACAAGUUAGUAGCGCAACUCCGGAGCUCAACCUCGGAACUACUACUAAAACUGUUGGACUUGAGUGCAGGAGGGGCAAUCGGAAUUCCUAGUGUAGCGGUGGAAUGCGUAGAUAUCAGGAGGAACACCAGUGGCGAAGGCGGAUUGCUAGACUGUAACUGACACUGAGGCACGAAAGCGUGGGGAGCAAACAGGAUUAGAUACCCCUGUAGUC
RNAcentral lists this ribosomal RNA (443 nucleotides) under uncultured bacterium. Its description in RNAcentral is "partial 16S ribosomal RNA". It matches the Rfam family "Bacterial small subunit ribosomal RNA", at positions 338 to 795 of the family's 1533-position model. The record is from RNAcentral.